Leopardus geoffroyi (Geoffroy's cat) is the source of this 1312-nucleotide long non-coding RNA. RefSeq lists it as uncharacterized. The transcript has 3 exons. Lineage: Eukaryota; Metazoa; Chordata; Mammalia; Carnivora; Felidae. The record is from RefSeq and is a predicted model, not a curated record.
ACUCAAGAACCUUGAUAUCAUGACCUGAGCUUAAGUCAGAUGCUUAACUUUCUGAGCCACCCAGGUGUCCCUAGACUUAGGAGUUUAAACAUUUAAAUACUACAGUGUACCAGUCUUUUUCUGUGGAUUCAGUUUGCCUUGGAGUAAAGUGGAGGUUUUAAUUAGAAUAUUUUUUAAUGAAGUUUCUUAGAGUAAACUUGGCUUUCUUGAGAAAAUGAUAUUAUAAAAACAUGUACAUGCUACUGUAGUUGUAUGUAGUUGUAUCAAGUAGUUAUGAACUACCUUGUUUAGGUAAAUUGGGGCAGUGUUUUAAGACUUUAGAAGUAUUUUUUUUUUUUAUUAGAAGUUUCUUUUUAGUGUGGUAAAUAUUAAUAUGUGUUUUUUAGUGAAUAAAAGAAUCGCCCUUCAGAUUUUUGAAAUACAUACAUGAAGAAUAUUGAAGAAUUUUGAAGAAUUUUUAUUUUUGUUUGAGUAGGUGGGAAUAGCCUUGGAUAUUUAAACAUAUGUACAUAAUAAACCUGAAGAUAAAUGUACAUUACAUGCUAAGGCAGUAAUUUGAUCCAGUUAUGUGUCUUUUGUUAGAAUUGUUCCAUUGUAGCUACCUAGUAUGUUAGUAGGCCAAAAGCAUUAAAGAGAUGUAGCCAGAGGCUAAGGGUAUAAUGCCUCUUCCAUGGUAGUGUUUCUCAAAUAGUGCAUAAUAAACACUCAGGGAUCUUUUUUAAAAAUGUAGGUUUUUGUCUUAGGUCUUCAACCUACAAAUGGAAUCAUUUUGUGAUUCUAGUAGAAUCUAAUGCAUUCUCUGUUGAUCACAGUUUUGGCUAAAUUCACCAGUUUUCAACCUUUGCAGCACAUCUAUGGAACUUAAAAAUGCCUGCUUUCCAAUCCACUACAUAUUUUUGAUACAGCGGGCCUGGGUUGGAGCCAUGGGAUCUGCAUCUUAAGAAGCUCUUCAGCUUGCUUAUUUUCAUUAGCAAAAAUAGACUAUUAGCCAUAUGUUGAAAUGAGACAUAGUCGAAAUAUUGAAAUAAGAAUAGUAGUAGUUCAAUUUUUUAUGGGACCUGGGGAGUUGAAGGGAGGGCUCAGAGUCAAUCAACUUGGGGGAAUAGGAUUCAUACACUUAACAAUGUAAGUAGCACAAUAUUCUAUGUGAAUAGUGUUCUGUGGGAUUUUGGUGUGACAACUUUGGUGUGAAAGUUGAGCUUUCAGCCUAUAUGUGGACAAUACCUACAGGUAUUGUCUCAAAUCAUACAUUAACUUUUUAAACUUUUUGUUUUUUAAGUAUUUCAUCUAGACUGGGGAGAUGGGAAGAGCG